RNAcentral lists this ribosomal RNA (466 nucleotides) under uncultured bacterium. Its description in RNAcentral is "partial 16S ribosomal RNA". It matches the Rfam family "Bacterial small subunit ribosomal RNA", at positions 29 to 507 of the family's 1533-position model. The record is from RNAcentral.
ACGAACGCUGGCGGCGUGCUUAACACAUGCAAGUCGAACGGAAAGGCCUCUUUCGGGGGGUACUCGAGUGGCGAACGGGUGAGUAACACGUGAGUAACCUGCCCUUGACUUUGGGAUAACUUCAGGAAACUGGGGCUAAUACCGGAUAGGAGCUCCUGCUGCAUGGUGGGGGUUGGAAAGUUUCGGCGGUUGGGGAUGGACUCGCGGCUUAUCAGCUUGUUGGUGGGGUAGUGGCUUACCAAGGCUUUGGCGGGUAGCCGGCCUGAGAGGGUGACCGGCCACAUUGGGACUGAGAUACGGCCCAGACUCCUACGGGAGGCAGCAGUGGGGAAUAUUGCACAAUGGGUGGAAGCCUGAUGCAGCAACGCCGUGUGCGGGAUGACGGCCUUCGGGUUGUAAACCGCUUUCGCUCAUGACGAAGCUUUGUGUGACGGUAGUGGGUAAAGAAGCACCGGCUAACUACGUG